Helianthus annuus (common sunflower) is the source of this 1614-nucleotide RNA transcript. RefSeq lists it as uncharacterized. The record is from RefSeq and is a predicted model, not a curated record. Lineage: Eukaryota; Viridiplantae; Streptophyta; Magnoliopsida; Asterales; Asteraceae. The transcript has 3 exons.
UAUAAAAUAGAAGAAUAAAGGUAAGGUCUUAAGGUCUAAUUUUAAUUUUAAAUUAAAUAAAUUGGUAAUCCUACUAAAACUUGUCAAUUUUUACGCUAAGUGACGUUACUUGCGGUUUGAUAUAAACUUGACAAAAGUGGUAAUUUACUCUUGAAACAAAUACAGAGGAGGAAUAUGAAGAGAAUUCGGAUUAGUGGACUAUAAAUACAAUACAAUACAAAACACUCAGAGGGAAGAAACAAGUAAAAAAAGCCCUAGAAUUAGAAUGGAUUCAUCGGAAUCGGAGUCUGCAAAGAUAGUCCUUUCCAUAGACGAUCUCCUGAUGAAAAUCUUAGCCGGAUUACCUCUACAUCCCUACGCCUGUUCAAAUCUGUCUGUAAGCGAUGGUUAUCCCUCAUCACCGAUCCUACCUUCAAUGCCCUCCGCACCAGAACCCCUAACGCCGAUCACCCUAAAGGUUUGUUAUUCCAACUACAAUCGUCAUCUUCUGUACUUGUAUACAUCUCAUUCCAAUUGGAUGCCCCUCCUACUCGUUUGAUAAGAUUCCCUUACGCCACAAAUUCGCAGCGAUACUCCUAUUGUAUAACGACCGCCCUGAUAAGUUAUAUGUAUACAACCCAACCAUAAAUCAGUGUAAGUUGCUUCCCCUGCCCCAUGUUUGGGUACCAAACAGAUCCCUUAAAGCUAUGGCAAUAGCUUUUGAUCCUCCAAUCUCACAACACUACAAGCUUGUCUACGCUCACCAAGAUUUUACUAGGCCUGGUACACCUGUUCAUGUAGAGAUUUACUCGUCGGAAACAGGCGUUUGGAGGGCUUGUGAGCGGACUUUUCAGCUAAUAUCUUUUGUAGCCUUUGAUCAUGUGUAAGUUAGAGGACUUCGACACAUGCGCGCACGAGAAUGUGUGUCAAAAUGUGUUCUGGAUUAUACAUGGAUCGCCUAUGCUAAAGACCUUGGCAAUUACCAAUUGUGCUUAUGUACCAUCGGCUGCGCCACUACCCGAGUCCCUAAACUUGAAGGUGUUGGAGUUUAGUGACGUUGUGUACCAUGGAUUAAUGCCUGUGUUUCAACUUUUGGAAGGUUGUCCCAAUUUGGAGCAUCUUUGUGUAGGACAAGUCUUCGACAGUCUGAGUGGGACGCAGAUGUAUCUCCGCCGAGAUGCAUGGUGGAUAGAAUGAGGACGGUGGAGCUUAAACGCCAUCGUGAGGAGGGGAGUGCAGCGUUUGCGUUGGCAGAGUAUGUCUUGCAGCAUGCUAACCGGCUGAAGAAACUCUUGAUCACAUGCGUCGAAGACAUGCCACAACAAGAUGUGGUGAGGAUGCGUAAAGGACUGACGGAGGGCUCAAUAGAAUCCAUGUGAGACGCAGCUGACCCGUUCAUGUUCAUCAUUAGAUGUUGACCACGAGUAGUCAAUACUAACCCUCCAAGAUUACCAACACCAGGACUGUUCAUUAGGGGAGUUAAGUCAUUUACACCUCAUCUAAAUUCUCAAAAUUACCCUUUUGCCCUCCCACAUUCUGACUUUUCUUCCCAUUUCCACUGUUUGGUUGACUGUUAUUCUUUGAUGAAGUUGAAAUUCUCUUUUAGAAAUUACAUAUAUAGAAAUCUUAAAAGCU